This 682-nucleotide ribosomal RNA is filed under the name uncultured bacterium. RNAcentral's name for it is "bacterial SSU rRNA". It matches the Rfam family "Bacterial small subunit ribosomal RNA", at positions 57 to 763 of the family's 1533-position model. The record is from RNAcentral.
GCAGUCGAACGAUUAAAGCCCCUUCGGAGGUGUAUACAGUGGCGAAAGGGCGAGGAAUACGUUCCUACGUACCCCGAGGUCGAGGACAGCCCAGGGAAACCCGGUGUAAUACUCGAUGUGGUCCACCGCAAGGCGGAUCAAAGGCUUCGGCCGCCUUGGGAGCGGGGAACGUCCUAUCAGGUUGUUGGUGGGGUAACGGCUCACCAAGCCGAAGACGGGUAGCGGGUGUGAGAGCACGAACCGCCGCAUCGGGACUGAGACACUGCCCGGACUCCUACGGGAGGCUGCAGCAACGAAUCUUCCGCAAUGCGCGAAAGCGUGACGGAGCAAUGCCGCGUGCAGGAUGAAGCCCUUCGGGGUGUAAACUGCUGUCAGGGUCUAGCAACCCAAUGAGCAAACCCAAAGGAAGGGCCGGCUAACUUCGUGCCAGCAGCCGCGGUAAUACGAAGGGCCCGAGCGUUGCGCGAAAUCACUGGGCUUAAAGCGUACGUAGGCGGGCACGCAGGCACCUUGUGAAAUCCCUUGGCUCAACCAAGGAAUUGCUUGGUGAACCGCGUGCCUUGAGGCAAGUAGGGGCUGUCGGAACGAUAGGUGGAGCGGUGAAAUGCGUUGAUAUCUAUCGGAACGUCGAAGGCGAAGGCAGGCAGCUGGGCUUGUUCUGACGCUGAGGUACGAAAGCGUG